GCUUCAACGAUGUAAUGAAUACAAAUACGACAUAGUUAUGCAAUCCACUAACAUAUACUAUGUCUAAUCAGGGUAUGAAUGCAAAUCCACUUAUGCUAUUCAUGUCAUUACCCAAUCCACUAGGCUACCCCGCCCUUGUCUCAAAUCACGUAGGUGAAGGACUACCCCGCCCUUGUUUCACCCGUCCCACAACUCUAACACUAUAGGUAAAGAGCUACCCCGCUCCACGCCCAACUCAUGACUCAAAUGCCUAAGGGCAUGAGCUACCCCGCUCUUCGCUCCGACUCUAACUCAAACUCAUAGGUCAAGAGCUACCCCGCUCAUAGGUCAAGAGCUACCCCGCUCAUAGGUAAAGAGCUACCCCGCUCAAAGGUCAAGAGCUACCCCGCUCGUAGGUAAAGAGCUACCCCGCUCAAAGGUCAAGAGCUACCCCGCUCGUAGGUAAAGAGCUACCCCGCUCAUAGGUAAAGAGCUACCCCGCUCGUAGGUAAAGAGCUACCCUGCUCAUAGGUAAAGAGCUACCCCGCUCAAAUCUCACAGGAGAAGAGCUACCCCGCCCUUCGCCCGACUCACUUCCCAAUCCAAUGGGUGGGGAGCUACCCCGCUCGUAUCCCACCCAAUGAGCUACCCCGCUCGUGUGACAACUGAGGAUACCCUGUCAACUAGGUUAACCAUCACUUGAUAUUCCACCUAUCCCUAGGUCCAUGUCAAGUGUUUCAACCAUAUCAAAUCUCAAUGCCACUCACCUAGGUCUAAGCAACUCUAGGUUCCACAACACUAGGUUUAGAUGCCACAUAAUCUCCAUAAUUAACAAUAGGUUAACCUUCAUUUCAUCUAGCAUAUAUGUUCUAUAAGGCCAACAUGCAUCAUAAUGCUAAUAUGCCAUAAUCAACUAGCAUGCAAUCCAUUCAUAAUGCUACGUGCAUACAAUCUCCAUUACAC
RNAcentral lists this long non-coding RNA (942 nucleotides) under Ananas comosus (pineapple). RNAcentral describes it as "long non-coding RNA (ACOM_LNC037681)". Lineage: Eukaryota; Viridiplantae; Streptophyta; Magnoliopsida; Poales; Bromeliaceae. The record is from RNAcentral.